UAUAACGGUCCUAAGGUAGCGAAAUUCCUUGUCGGGUAAGUUCCGACCCGCACGAAAGGCGUAACGAUUUGGGCACUGUCUCAACGAGAGACUCGGUGAAAUUUUAGUACCUGUGAAGAUGCAGGUUACCCGCGACAGGACGGAAAGACCCCAUGGAGCUUUACUGUAGUUUGAUAUUGAGUGUCUGUACCGCAUGUACAGGAUAGGUAGGAGCCGUAGAAAUCGGAACGCUAGUUUCGAUGGAGGCGCUGGUGG
RNAcentral lists this ribosomal RNA (255 nucleotides) under Enterococcus faecium. Its description in RNAcentral is "partial 23S ribosomal RNA". It matches the Rfam family "Bacterial large subunit ribosomal RNA", at positions 1941 to 2195 of the family's 2925-position model. The record is from RNAcentral. Lineage: Bacteria; Bacillati; Bacillota; Bacilli; Lactobacillales; Enterococcaceae.